CGAUUUCUGCGACUUACCACCGUAUGAAAAAGUUACAUCUGUCCACACAGAAAAUUGCAUCUCAACAAACCUGUCAUUGGUACGCGAACUACAUUUUAGUCACUCAGUAAAGUGAUAACUCAAAAUAUCAUUGUCAACAGAUCUGGAGAAAUUGCCACUGCAUCUUUAGACCGUUUUCGUCAGAUGAGAGACACAGUUCUGACUCUGAUUACUGGUUGCUGUACGUAUCUAUCCACAUCAAGGCUGUUGAGAGAGACUCGUGAAGAUUCAAGACAGCUCUUAGAAGAUUUUGCAGUUUAAAAGUGACAUAAUUGUGAAAUAAGUGUGCAGAUGAGUGAUUAAACUGUGUUUUAUUGAAGUUGUUGUGCGAUUUUAA
Long non-coding RNA from Schistocerca nitens (vagrant locust), 376 nucleotides. RefSeq lists it as uncharacterized. The record is from RefSeq and is a predicted model, not a curated record. Lineage: Eukaryota; Metazoa; Arthropoda; Insecta; Orthoptera; Acrididae. The transcript is spliced from 3 exons.